Molecule: non-coding RNA, 13651 nt
Organism: Oryctolagus cuniculus (rabbit)
Lineage: Eukaryota; Metazoa; Chordata; Mammalia; Lagomorpha; Leporidae
Source: RefSeq, a predicted model, not a curated record
GUGUCUUAUUCCACAGGUUUGAAUAGUCAUGACUCCAGUUGGCAUUGAGUGAGUGUGCUGAAGAAACCAAGUGGUGAAUUGGCCGUUGUAUCCAUCAUCUUUAUACUUUGGUUGAAUUUUAAGGUGAUAAAUUUGUUAUAACUUUGAGAGAUCGAAUGAGCAAAUGAUCUUAAAUGUGUACCAAAUUCAUAGAAAAAUGUGAGUUUUAACGUAGUUUUUUUCUAUGUUAAAUCAUUCAAAACCCUUAAUUGGAAUUAGUACUACUUUUGUAAACAUUUAUGGUGGGAUUGUUUGUGCUUCCCUGAAGUACCUGUUUAUUACUUGUUCUUUGGUUCUGCUUUCUUGCCCCACCUACAGUGAGUUCUCUCCUCAUGUUUUUGGUUCUGUGUGCUUCCUUGCACCUUCUUGUGUCUCCUUGUUCUUUGAGCUUUUCUCUGUGCUGCCAUCUGCAUUUCCCACAUUUUCUCUGAUCAUCCUCUGUCUGCCUUUGAUUCAUUUCCUUUAAAUCUGCAUUUUGGCCAUGUCUCAUCUGUUUAUUUUUUAAAUUAUUUAUAAAUCCCGGAAGGCAGUUUUAUAUAGGAUAAGAACCAGGCACUUGUCUGCUUCCUGAUGAAUUACUCUGUAGCUGCCACCUUUUUAGAACCCUGAGCUAGAAUUUUUCUCUUGUUAUGCAAAGUAAAUGAGGCACUAACUGCAGGUUUAUUAGUUGGUAGGGGUGGGGGGAAUAGUACUGUAGUUGAUUCAUGACCCAUGUAGCACGGCAAGUUUCUAAUUUCAAAAAUAACUAGCAGAUUUUUUAAGAGUGAUAUUUAAAGUGCUGUAGCAAUAAUAGAUGCUGAAAAGUAAGCCUUGUGUAUAGCCUAGUGAUUUUAAAAAACCUUCUUUAAGUGUUCAAGACCUAUACCUUAGAGUAGAAUAAUUUUCAGUGACAACUCUUACUUUUCUCUACAUGGAGUUAUGUCUUUGAACCAUACUUUAUUGCAAAACUCACAAACCUAAAGGAUUUAAAGUUUAUUAUUGUGAUUUUAGAGCAGGGUGGAAAGGAAGGGGAAGAAAGAUUAUUUUCCUGAGUGAAGGGACCUAGUGCUUAUAAUAACAUUUUGAUCUGGGGACUAUGCUGUGAUAAAUAACUUGCAUUGUUGAAUCUGGAUGGAAUUAACCUCAGGGGAGCCCUGUCUAUCUCUGAAGCAUUAGGAACCGAUUAUGGCUGCGUGUGAUCUGUUUUCACAUGGUGUAGUACACAUGUGCACAAGUGCACUGAGUGUCAGUGCAGUCAACCAGCUAUUUUCCCCCUAGCUUUUUGAAGGCUCCUUUUGGAGAGGAUUUAUGUGACAACUACUUGAUUCUUCUUUGUUGUGUCUUCUGAUAAUCUUAUUACUUGAAUUAAUUUUGAUGAUUAUGUUUGAACAUAAAAAUAAAGCAGCUGAAAAUUUAUGAAACAUGUUUCAUAAAUACUUUUUAAUUUACUAUAUUCAAAGAUAUGCCAUUGUUUUAUAGUUUGUCCAAUACCUGUCCAAGAUCUGUUUGAAGUGUUAAGAUCUCAGGGGCUGGCACGGGCAUCCCAUAUGAGCACCUGUUCAAGUCCCAGCUGCUCUGCUUCCUAUCCAGCUACCUGCCACAGCCCCUAGGAAGGCAGCAGAGGAUGGCUCAAGUGCUUGGGUCCAUGUACCCACAUGGGAGUCGUGGAUGGAAUUCCUGGGUCUUACCUUCAACUUGGCCCAGCCUCAGCGGUUGCAGCCAUUUGGGGGAAUAACCAGCGAGUUACGUAAACUAAUAUUCCACAACAUGAAAUAGUGUUGAAAUGUAUAAUUAAGGAACACGAUGUUUACUGAGGAUUAUGUGAAUAUACAACCAGUUUUUUUCCUAGAAAAAAUUUUCAUGUGCCAUCUGAAACUUUUUAGGUUUAUUUAAUUUUUACUUUUCUUUUAUAGUUCUUCAUGCUUGUUUUACUAUAUUUUGAAGGAAACCUUGGGUAAUUUUAAAAUGGUUCUCGCAUCUCAUUUCACUGUAGUUCAAUUAAAGUAUUGACUCAUUUUGAGAGAACUAUAGCUUCACAUGCAGUUGUAAGAAACAAGGAUCAGGCUGGCGCCACGGCUCACUAGGCUAAUCCUCCGCCUGCAGCGCCAGCACACCGGAUUCUAGUCCCGGUCGGGGCACCAGAUUCUGUCCCGGUUGCCCCUCUUCCAGGCCAGCUCUCUGCUGUGGCCCGGGAGUGCAGUGGAGGAUGGCCCAAGUGCUUGGGCCCUGCACCCCAUGGGAGACCAGGAGAAGCACCUGGCUCCUGGCUUCGGAUCAGCGCGGUGUGCUGGCUGCAGUGCGCAGGCCGCGGCGGCCAUUGGAGGGUGAACCAACGGCAAAGGAAGACCUUUCUCUCUCUGUCUCUCUCUCUCACUGUCCACUCUGCCUGUCAAAAAAAAAAAAAAAAAAAAAAAAAACAAGAAUCAUCCUCUUUACUGAGUUUCCCCAAAUGCUGGUAAUACAGUAUCACACCCAGGAUGUUGACAUUGUAGGCAGUAGAAAACAGCCAGUGUCAGAAGGGUCACUGGGUGUUGACCUGUUGCAGCCGGACCCUCUCCUUCCUGCUGCCUUCUGCACUUCUUCUGUCGAACACCACUCUGCUCUUCAUUUCUAGAAUUUAAUCAUCUCAAGAAUGUUAUUUAAAUAGAAUUGUGUUGGGAUGGCAUUUAUUUUCUCAGGGUAACUGUGGUGAUUUGCCCAGGUUGUUGUGUGUCUUAAUAGUUGUUCCUUUUAUCGUUGAGUAUUCCAUGGAACCUCACAGUGCAUUCCGUGUGCUGUGGUUUAAUCAUUCAUCCAGCAGGGGCAUGUGGCUUGCAUGUUUCAGUUGUUACAAAUAAAGCUGCUACAGUUGUAUACUGUCUUUUAUUUUGGUAAAAACAAGUAUCCAUUUCUGUGUGGUGAAUACCCAGGAGGGUCGUGUGUUGAUUGUGUGUCUAAUGUCUAAGCUGUUCUGAAGUGGAUAUACCGUUUUACAUUGUCAGCAGUAAUGUGUGAAUGACCAUUGUCUGCACAUCCUCAUCAGCAUUUGGUGUUGGCAUUGCUGUUCUUCCUCCCCCCGACCCUGGUAACUGUGGAAGAAUGUUCAAAUCCCCCAGUGGAUACUGAAACUACAGAUUGUACUCAAACUAAAAUGAAUCUUUUCUAUACGUGCAUAUGCACCUAUAAUAAAAUUUAAUUGAGGGACAGAAGUUGUGGCAUGGGUAAAGCCGCUGCCUGAGACACUGACAUUCCUUAUAGGAACUGGUUCAAGUCCUGCCUGCUCCACUUUCAGUCUAGCUCCCUGCUAAUGGCCUGAGAAAAGCAGAGAAGAUGGCCCAAAUGGUUGGGCCCCUGAUGCCCACAUGGGAGAUUUGUCUUGUCCCAAACUCUGGUUGUAUGGCUGUCUGGAGAAGUGAGGCAGCAGAUGGGAGACUUCUCUUGUUUCCUGUCUCUCUCUAUAUCUCUGUAACUCUUUUUUUUUUUUUAAUUAUUUGAAAAAAGGCACAGUUACAGAGACACAGAGGCAGGGAGGGAGGGAGGAGAGAGGUCUUUCAUAUGUUGGUUCACUUCCCAGGUGUCUGCAAUGGCCAGAGCUGAGCCAAUCUGAAGCCAGGUGCCAAGAGUUUCUUCUGGGUCUCCCAUGUGGGUGCAGGGGCCCAAGGACUUGGGCCAUCUUGUAUUGAUUUCCCAGACCAUAGCAGAGAGCCGGAUUGGAAGUGGAGAAGCUGGGUCUUGAACCAGCGCCCAUGUGGAGUGCUGGCACUGCAGGUGGCAGCUUUACCCACUACAUCACAGUGACAGCCCCUGUAACUCUUUUAAAUAAAUCUUUUCUUUUGUAACAGUUAUAGACAGAGUAAGAUUAAAAACAAUUGAUAAAAUAAUUGUAACAUGUAUUGUAAUAAGAUUUAUUUAACUUAUUUAAGAUUAUGAACUGAUUAUUUCUGGAAACUUCCAUGUACUAUUUUCAGACCAUGGUUGACUAGGGCUAACUGAAACCAUGGAAAACAGAGCUAUGAAUAAGGGGGACUACUGUAUCUUUUAUUAGUAGCCAUUCCGAUAGGUGUGUUGAGAUACUUUAUCUUGGUUUUCAUUAGCAACCCCUUAACACUGAGCAUUUUUCAUGUGCCUGUUUAUCAUCUGUAUGUCCUCUUCGGUGACAUGUCUCUGCUCCAUUUUUAAAGUGGAUUAUUUUUUGAGGUUGAAUUUUGAGAUUUCUUUAUAUAUUUGAUAUACUUGGUUUUUUUUUCUAGAAUAUAUGAUUUAGAAAUACUUGAUUCUGUAGACUGUCUUCAUUGUCUUAGCAGGGUCUUUUGCAGAGGAAAAAAUUUUGUUUUGAAAAAGCCAAAUCAGUUUUCCUUUUAUGGAUCAUAUAAUUUUUUAUUGUCAGGUCUCAGGAUAUUGCAUAACCGUGGAUCUUGAAGAUUUUUUUUAUAUAUUUCUAAAUUUUAGUUUGAUGUUUCACAUUGAAGUCCGUGAUCCAAGUUCAGGUCAUCUGUUUUUAACUUCUACAUAUAGAACAUGAGGUAUUGGUCUUCUGUGCCUGGCUUAUUUCACAACAUAAUGACCUCUGGUACCAUUCAUUUUGAUGCAAACAUCAAGGCUCCAUUACUUUCUGUGACUGAAUAAUUUUAAUGAUUUUCUUUAUGUUGAUUUCUUGAAGCUGGGAAGGGUGCAGAGGGAUAAUGGUUACCAAACAGUUAGAUAGAAGUUGUAUUGUUACACAGCACAGUGGUGUGGACUGUUGUUUACAACAUGCAUUAUAUGCCAUGUGAAGAACCAAAAGAAGAAAGCUUGGAGACUCCACAAGUAAAGAAAAUUUGUGAAAAUACUGGCUACCUGACUUGAUCAGUUUAUGAUGUGUGCAUCUGUUGAAAUAAUGCAAGGUAUUCCAUAAAAUAUAAUAGAGAGUAUCCGGUCUGCUGAAAGAAGAAAAAAAUCAAGCACUGCCAGUUUCUAGUUGUAUGAAUUUGGACACAGCACAUCACCUUAUUUUCUCUAAAAUCAUAUUAGCCGUCUUUGUUAAGCAGGAAGAAAUGAGUGUAUAUGUGAUGUGUUUCAGGUAGAGUCCUACACACAGUGCUUGGUAUGUAUGUUAUUACUAUUAUCCUUUAAAUCAAGAAGAAUGGUUGACGUUAAAAGAAAAAGUCCCUUUUUCAUGUGGAGUUAACUUAUGUAUUUAGUUGAGUUUUUCUCUUUCUUUUUUUAACCUGUGGGUAAGCAGUUGUCCUGUAUUAUUUGUGGGGAAGGCUAUUCUUUCUCCAUUGAAUGGCUUUUGCACCUUUGUUUAAAAAAAAAAAAAACAGUUGGGUGUAUUGGUGAGUUUUAUUGAUCACUGUGGCUAUCCUCCAGUCAGUAUCACAGAAUCUUGAUUAUUAUAGCUAUAUAAUUUUUGAAAUGAGACUGUUUUAUCUUUAAAUCUGUUUCAAAUGUUUUAAACUAUUCUAGUUCUUCUGUCUUUCCUUAUAUACAUUUAAACAUUUUUUGUCUACAGUGAAUAUUGGGGAAUUUUGAUAGGAAUUGCGUUGUGCCUUUACAUUAAUUUUGGGAGAAGUGACAUCUUUGUUGAGUCUCUCAGUCCAUGAACAUGGCAUAUUUCCUCAUUUGUUUACAUCUUAGAUUUCCUUCCUCAGUACUUUAUGGCUUUCAGCAUACAAGUCCUGUACGGAUUUUGUUAGCUUUACACCUAAGUAUUUAGUUUUCUUUGGGGUGAUUGUAAGUAGUACUGUGUUUUUCAUUUUGAUACUCAUUCUUAGGAGUUUUGUAUGUUCACCUUGCAUCCUGUAUCAAAAGCCUGUGUGCAGUAGGUUGUUGGGUAGACAUGAUGGUACAAACCAGCAGUAAACAUUCUGGGUUUCUCAAGCUCUGUGGCCUCUGUCAUAAUUACCUAUCCUAUUUUUGUAGUGUAAAAGCAGCUAUGGGCAAUAUAUAUGUGAAUGGACGGAGCUGUGUUUUAGUACAGCUUUAUUUGCCAAAACAGAUGGGGUAAGGGCUAGAGGUGCAAGAGUGGACAGAUGUGGUCCAGGGGCUGUAGUCUGCUGACCUGAAGUCUAGACUAAUAUAAUUUAACUCUGCUUUGACUUGUUGAGCUGCUCGCUUGCUUUCUGUUUAAGCAAAAGCUCUAUUUCCUAAGUAUAAAUUCAGAUGUUAGAAUAAGGCACCAAGGUAUUUCAGUAGAUUGUUUGGAUGAUGAUAAUGAUGUUUUACUUAUAUUUUGAUAUCAACUGUUGUAACAAGAUUGCAGUACAAAUGAAUAGACCGUAUAACGUUUUUCUUAUAAAAUUAGAAUAGAACAUAUUUAAAAUUUCUAUUUAUUGCAUACUGAUACUGCUCAAAAUAUUCUCUUCAAGGAUGAAUAUUGCAGAAGGACUGUUAAAAAGUGUCAGAACUCUAAACCUUGCAGAAGUCCAAGAGAAAAUGAACUGCAACAGGAAAAAGUCUUGUUUGAUUUUUACAAGUGCAUUAUUGUUCUCCAACGAAAAUUAACCCUAGUAAUAAUGGUAUUUGUGGGUAAAAAAAUCUGAAACAGAUAAAAUAUUUUGGGUUGAGUUUAAUACUGCUGUGUCACUUACACAAGUCAUGUUCAUUUCUGGGUGUUAAAGAGAAGAAAGUGUUCUCAAGCUUCUCCUUUUGUGAAAGGCAGAACAUGCUGCGUGCUUGCUUACCUACAGCAAAGGCACUUGUCACUCCGUUAGGCUGCUGUGUAAGUGAGCAUUUAGAAAUCACUUUUGCCCGACUCACUUUUAUGGGAAACGUUUAUUCACUUGCAGAGUUUAUCAGAGGGAUUGCAAACAGAUUAUCUCUUACUACUGUAUUUCUAUCCAGUUUUCAUGGUUUUAGAGCAGAGCAGUUUGGGUAAAUGGGAAUUGAGUGAAGAAAAUGGUUUGAGAACUAAAACCAGCAUCUAAGGGUUUGGGUCAUGAGAUGGCUGGACUGGAGACUCACCAGGACGUGGAGAGCCUGGUGGGUUAGUGGGUGCCCUUGGGUCUCUGUGUGCCCAUUUGUCAUUUUCACCUGAUGAGGUUGCAGUCUUCCCAUUCAAUUCCACACCUCCUGGGCUCUUAGGAGAAUGGACUGAGAUAAAUAACACAUAGCAUUUUAAACACUGUUUGUGGCACAAAAUUAAUUUGCACUUUUAUUGUGAUGCAUAAUUUUUGACUGUUUUUUGAAAAUACAUUGUUUUCUGUUUUCUCUAUACAAGAGUCAGUAAAUACGUGUAAUUGUGUUGUCUUAAGUUUGAAUCCCUGCCUGAUUUAAUAGUGUAAGUAAUAUUGUGGCUGAAGUUUUCUUGAAAUACAGUCAUGCUCAUUUGUUUUUGCUCUGUUUAUGGUCACUAUUGCUCUGUAGUGACAAGCAGAGCAGAUGUGACAGAGAUUACAGUUGGCCCUCUGUAUCUAUGGAUUCCACACCCAUGGGUUCUGCAUCUGUGGAUUCAACGAAUUGUCGACUGAAAAUCCUCAACAAUAAAAACGUUAUGAGUACUGAACUUUUGCAGACUAUACUUGCCAUUAUUCCCUAAAACAAUACAAAAUAGCAAGAGUUUACAUAGUAUUUUACAUUGGGUAAGUCAUUAUAAGUAAUCUAGAUAUGGCAAGAUGUAGAAUCUUCAGAAAGUUCUUAACAAUGUAUAUUAGAAAAGAAUGAUGCAUAAAUUUCAAAAAAAUUUAUAUCAGAGUAGUUUAAUUCUGUUUUUCCAUAAAGUACCCUUGUAUGGGAGGGUAUAGACGAUGUACAAACACGUCACAUUAUAUAAAAUAGAGAUGCACAUUGGCAGAGUUUUAUAUUGGGGGUCCUGGGACUAAUCCUCCAUUGAUACUGAAGAAUGACUGUGUAUAACCAGCAAAACAAAAUAUUAGUACCUGACAGUUUAUAGGGCAAGCUUGUCAACCCUGAAACUCACAUACAAGGUCUCUUGAUGAAGUGUAAAAGUGAAUGAAAAGCACUCAGUCAUAAAAGAGCUUCUGAAACCAGUGAGCCUUUGUUUAUUUUACAGCUCGUGUUAAAGCAAAUGAUGUAUUAAAAAGGGCAGUAUAAAAAAAGUUUCCUGGGCCGACGCUAUGGUGCAGAGGGUUAAGCUGCCGUUAGCAGUGCUGUAUCCUAUACAGACACCGGUUCGAGUCCUGGCUCUUCUGUUUCCAAUCCAGCUCCCUGAUUUUGUGCUUGGGAAAGCAGAGGAGGAUAGCCUGAGUGCUUUGGCUCCUGCACCCAUGUGGGAGACCUGGAAGAAGCACCUGAGUUUUGGCCUGGCCCAACCCUGGCCAUUUGGAGAGUGAACCAGUGGAUGAAAGAUUGAUUCUGUCUGUCUCUGUGUGUCUCACUGUCUCACUGUAAUUCUGACUUAAAUAAAUAAAUCUUUAAAAAUAUUUCCUCAGGUUUUCAUUUAUGUUGCUACUAAGGAGCUGAUUUUGAAGUAUUAUAAAUUAAUAAUACAUUACCAUCUGCAAUAACUGAAUUCAUUAGAAGGUUUGAAAUUAUUUCUUUUCUUUCAUAAUGAAACUCUAAUGCUGUAAAAUUUGUGGUGCAUUUCUGUUCAUUAGGAAUAAGUCUUUGUCAUUUUAUGGUUUGCACUUAAUCUCAGAGAGUGAGUAUCAUAGGGCAGUGCUGAGCCAAGGCAGCCUAGCGCCAUCCCACAGUCCAGUACUCCCAGCACUGUGAACCGCUGACAUUGCCUUCAUGGACACAGCUUGUUAACAUCACAGGGAAAGGACUUCAGCAAUCCUGCUGUUAAAACGUGGUGUUCCUGCUGCCAGAAUUACUUUGAUUCAAAGCCAUAGCCAGUAAUAUGCACAUAGAGGCCAGCAUUGUGGUGGAGUAGGUUGAGUUGCUGCCUGUGACACUGGCAUCCCACAUGGGCUCUGGUUCCAGUCCUGGCUUCUCACUUCUGAUCCAGCUCCCCGCUAAUGCUUCUGGAAAGCUGGGGAAGAUGGCCCAAGUGUUUGGGCCCCUGCAUGCAUGUAGAAGACCCAGAUGAUGUUCCGGGCUUCAGCCUAGACCAGUCGUUGUAGCCAUUUUGGGAGUGAACCAGCAGAUAGAAGAUCUCUCUCUGUCUCUCCCCCAUCUCUUGAAGUUAUCCUUUCAGAUAAGUCUUUUUUUUUUUUUAAAGUAAUAUGCAUAUAGGACACAGUUAGCAUGUAGACCUGAUUUUAAAUGGAAAUAUGUCUAUGGCUCGGCGAAUGCAGUUUUGGUAGAGUGAUUGUUGACGUCUAGGUAGCAAAGCAGCCUCACGAGUGUGUGACUAUUCAGUCCUGUCUCCUCACUGGCAGGGGAGUUCCGUACAAGUGGUAGUUUUCAGACAACAGAGCAGAUGGCUCCUUCCACUUAGUACAGGGCGUGCCAACCCGAAGAGAUGGCUGAGCAAGUGUUAACCCCUAAGGGACAGCAAGAACAAUUGCCAUCAGUUGUUUGCAAGUCUGUCUCCUGACCUGAGAAUGAUGUGAAAACGUAAUUCUGUCUUUUAAAUUAGCGUGCAUUAAAUGCACAAAUUUAGCCUAUAAUCUCUAAGUUCUCACUACAAACGGUGGUAGAUGAUACAAUUACUUAUAAAAGGAAGCAAACUGUUAUGUUUGACAUUUAUGGGAUAAUGUGAUGACAGACUACUACAGUGCUUCCAAGUUUCCAGUAAAUAUCCAUGAAGAUGGCAAACACAGGCAAAUGCCAUAUGACAACCUUGGGUAGAAUCUUCUUCAGUAGGAUUAGGGGAAUGGAUUGAGAAUAGCCAUGAACUCUAGAGAACACGUUUUAUUUCCUCAACCUGAACAGAACAGAUGGUCACACACACAAGGCAGAGCACAUUUCACGAAGUGCCUAACUUCUGGGAGCCUGCGGGUCAUGCUGAGUAGCUAAAGUUUUGUCAUCCGUAGACUCUGGAACCACUCAUGAGAGGUCAGUUCACCUGCCACUUCUUUACAUCUCGAUUGUUUCUUUUAUCUCUUUGCUAUAAAGACCUCAGGGUGCUCCACAGCCCUGGGUAGAAGUCAUUUACAGAACACCGUUUGAAGCAUGUAGAGACAGAAAAAAGAGCUUUGUGUCUGUGUAUAUUACAUCUGGUUGCUUAUGACGGCAGCCAGGAGGGGUCUCAGAGCAGCAAACUGUACUCUUUCCACAUUCGUUAGAAGGAAUUUCUGUCAAACGUUACCUGUUGGAUUUAGGGUGGAGCGCAUCCCUAUUUCCAAGUUUAAAUCUGAGGAGAAGGACCUGUAAGCAUGUGGGGAGUGCUGAGUCAGAAGACAUGGCAGACACUAAUGUCUGUGUAAGAACUACGGGUCUGGCUACAGCUCUUGCCAAAGGCAAGUGUUCACAAGAAGCUUAGCAUGUGGCUUAUGGAAAAAAUUCUAUAAAGGAGGUGGAGAGAAUGACUCUGAAGACAGAAUGUGUCUUUCAGAAAGUGAUGACAUGUGAAAAACAUAUUUAGUACAAAUCUGUUAGUCUCAAACAUCAUGACCUUGAGGGGGUCAGUGUUGUGGCUCAGCGAGUUGAGCACUGCCUGCAAUGUCCAUCUUCCAUAUCGGAUUGCCUGAUUCUGAUCCAGCUUCUCUGCUUAUGUGCCUGGGAAGUCCUCGGAUGAUGGCCCAAGUGCUUGAGCCCCUGACACCCAUGUGGGUGGAGUUCUAGCCCCUUAACUUUGACCUGGCCCAGCCCUAGGUGUGAGCUUUUGAGGAGUGAACCAGUGGGUGGAGGAUCCCUCUCACUCUGUGCUUUUCUCUGCUAGUCUUGAGAAUAAAUCAGAGGUCCUUAAGGAGGAAGGGGUUGAGAUCAGAGAAAUGCCAAAAAAUGAGCAAGAACAAUAAAAAUAACAAGAAACCCAAAACCCCAGAACUGGCCUCGAUAAAAGAAUUCAAGGAAACUGAAAUUGCAGUGUUUUAAAACUUAAAUUAAAGCAAUCAAAGACAACUUUGUUUCCCAAAAUGGGAGAGUAUGAAUGACAAACUUGAGAACCUUGGGAUGCAGUUGCAUUUUCUAUUCUACCCUGAAUGUUAGGCAAAGAUACACAAAUGUUGAGAGAGGACAUAGAAGGCAGGAAAUCAGAACUUUGAUAAGGAUAUCACAAAAUUCCUGUGUCAGAGAAGCAUGUGAAGUGGAAGGACUUGAGAAACAGCUAAAAUGAGUGGAAAAGUUCCUACUUAGACCCAUCCUGGAAAAAUAUUGGAAUUCUAAGGAUGAGACAAUCCAGAAGACAGAAAAGAAAAAAUUUAUCUCCAAUAUCUUGUCUAUUAAAUGUUAGAAAUUUCUGUGUGAGGCUGUGGCCUGAUAGUUAUAUUCAACUAUGUUGUUAAUACAAGUUAGUGAUGAUUUUAUAUAAUCUUGUAUUUUUUUUUUUAACAGGCAGAGUUAGAGACAGAGCGAAAGGUCUUCCUUCCGUUGGUUCACCCCCCAAAUGGCCGCUACAGCCGGCACACUAUGCCGGUCCAAAGACAGGAGCCAGGUGCUUCUUCCUGGUCUCCCAUGCGGGUGCAGGGGCCCAAGCACUUGGGCCAUCCUCCACUGCCUUCCCGGGCCACAGCAGAGAGCUGGCCUGGAAGAGGAGCAACUGGGACUAGAACCCGGCGCCCAUAUGGGAUGCCAGCGCUGUAGGCGGAGGAUUAACCAAGUGAGCCACGGCGCCGGCCCUUGGAUUUUUUAAAAAGAUUUUUUUAUUUAAUUGAAAGGCAGAGUGACAGAGGCAGAGAGAGGGAGAGAGGUCUUUUGUUAAACUGGGGUAUAUUUUUGUGCUGUCCUGUGAUUGAUUGGUGGUUAGUAGAACAGGCCAGGCUCAUCCAACUCAACUGAUGAGAAAGUUGGGUGAACAAAAGGAAAAUGUAGCCAAAGUUACAGUUAGUUCCUAAAAAGCCACCGAUCAAACACAGAAAGUCUUAUACAAUGUUUUCUGUAGAAGGUACAUUCAAAAUUAAAUGACAAAGGCUUAAAUAAAUUGAUAAAUCCAAACAAGAGAAUAUUAGAGUUUUAUUAAUAUGAGAAAUCACUAAAAUGGGCUAAAAUUAUGACAAAAGGUAUAAACUACAGUAAAGACAUAAUAUGGAUUUUUGUGAGGUAGGUUAUAUCACAAUAAGCAUUAAUUACUGGGAAUGGAAAGAAACAUAGUAAUGAGACAGCAACUCCUCUUUCUUGCAGAUGAGACAGUGUGGAAGGAUAAUAGAGGUGCAAAUAUCCUGAUAAUUUAGGGCAACCAUAGAGGGUGGGCCACACAUGAAGAACUCUGCUCUCUAGAGGAUCCCUUUUCUUUAGGACCUCAAGAAAUCACUCCCCUCCUCCAAGCAUCAUUUUUGUAGGCCAUAAAACUAAAAUUUUGACAGUUUUUAAAUAAUGUAAAAUGCAUUCUCUACCAUAAAGAGAUUUCCAAACAUGUUACACAGGGAAAUUGAAAAAAUCCAGGUCCUUCCCCAUCUCCCAAGCUGUCUCCUAAAUAAUUCAAGUGGGUCAAAGAGAAAAAUGUAAAAUUACAAAUCUUCAAGAAGAGUUAUGAUGGAAAAUACAUAUUAACACUAUUGGAUAUGAUCAGAAUGCUUCAUAGAGAAAAACAUAUAGUCAAAUACUCAUUUUUAGCAAAAGGGAAUAAAAAAUUGAGCAAGUCAGCUUGGGUAUUACAAAAGGAAAUGGAGAAAAUUAUUAAAGAUACAGGAAUGUGAAAAGAUACAUAAAACAACAGUUGAUAAGUCUUGUUUCUUUUGAUGAAAAAAUCCAAUAUUAUAGAUUCAAUUGUACCAAAUUGAAAUAGCACAAUAUGAAAAAUUAGGAAUGAAAUGGAAAACUAAGAAAAUGUAAAUGUAUUAUGUAAUUAAAUGUUCAUAAAUUUGAAACAGAUGAAAAUAGAUACUUUCAUAGAACGAGUUAUACUACUACCCAAAUUAAGUACAGAGGAAAAAAUAUGUGAGGUAACAGCACUAACAGCAGAGAAUGAGAGAACUUGAAGAACAAUCCUUCCAUAAAGAGUUUUGUGGGUGAAUUCUUUCAAACAAGUCGUGCCUACUAUGAAAUUGCUCCUAAGCACAGAGAGAUGAGAAAUUGUUUUAUGUUUCACUAUUUUUUUUGGUGAUUUCUUCCUGUAAAGUUUCAUAAUUUUAUCAAGGAAUCCAUUCUAUUCUCUGCUUCAUGGGUGGGCUCUUAGACUUGAGAGACAGUAAGAAAGAAACUGUUCUGGCACCACUUUUUGAAAGAUAGUAUUCAGUGGGGAAGAAAGUCUUUUUAAUGAGAGGUGCUGGGACAACUCGUUAUUAACAUGUGAAGAAAUUACUCUGGAACUCUACCUUAUAUCAUGAAUAAAAAUUAACUCAAAGGGUACCAUAGACUUCAAUCUAAGGGCUAAAACAGGACAAUUUUUGGAAGAAAACCUAAGGUCAAGCAAAUGCUGUCUUAGAUAUGAGAUGAACAGCAUAAGUGAUCAAAGAAAAAGGGGUGAAGUGAAGUUACAAUGGGAAACUUUGUGCUAGAACACACUCAGUUGGCUCUGACACAGUUUUGCAGUGAUGGAGUCUAUUUGAGGACAGAUCUCAUACUCUGAGGGUGACAGUGUAGAGAGGGCAAGAACCUGAAUUUUGGGGGGAUAUCAUUGGCUUCCCUGAGCUGAAGAACCCAAGACUCUGUUCUGCUUCUGGGCAUAUCUUUUUGUGGUUAGGUCAUUGUUGUCUUAUGAUACUUGGUGUCUGUUUCUUGUGGUUGAAAA